AUUGAACGCUGGCGGCAGGCCUAACACAUGCCAGUCGAGCGGAUGAAGGGAGCUUGCUCCUGGAUUCAGCGGCGGACGGGUGAGUAAUGCCUAGGAAUCUGCCUGGUAGUGGGGGAUAACGUCCGGAAACGGGCGCUAAUACCGCAUACGUCCUGAGGGAGAAAGUGGGGGAUCUUCGGACCUCACGCUAUCAGAUGAGCCUAGGUCGGAUUAGCUAGUUGGUGGGGUAAAGGCCUACCAAGGCGACGAUCCGUAACUGGUCUGAGAGGAUGAUCAGUCACACUGGAACUGAGACACGGUCCAGACUCCUACGGGAGGCAGCAGUGGGGAAUAUUGGACAAUGGGCGAAAGCCUGAUCCAGCCAUGCCGCGUGUGUGAAGAAGGUCUUCGGAUUGUAAAGCACUUUAAGUUGGGAAGAAGGGCAGUAAGUUAAUACCUUGCUGUUUUGACGUUACCAACAGAAUAAGCACCGGCUAACUGCGU
RNAcentral lists this ribosomal RNA (483 nucleotides) under uncultured bacterium. RNAcentral describes it as "partial 16S ribosomal RNA". It matches the Rfam family "Bacterial small subunit ribosomal RNA", at positions 30 to 506 of the family's 1533-position model. The record is from RNAcentral.